CCUCUUCGCACUGACCCGGAUCUAUGAAAUGGACGUGGCAGUCAACGCCGCCGGCCGUGACUAUCAGCCCCUCCGCCGCGCGAACGUCCGUGUUGGUACCGACGAUCAGUUUCGGGUCCACCCCGUCCAUUAUCCGGGGGUCACCCGCCUUGCCGAUGCCGGCGAUCAGGCCGUCUUUGAUCCCUAUAUCGGCCUUGAUGAUGCCGAGGACCGGAUCGAUGAUCGUGGCAUUCGUUAUCACCAGAUCGAGUGCACCGUCUGCCGCAGUGAUGUGGCCAUGACAGCCGG
Small RNA from Mesorhizobium australicum, 288 nucleotides. It matches the Rfam family "5' ureB small RNA". NCBI's taxonomy places the organism in Bacteria, Pseudomonadati, Pseudomonadota, Alphaproteobacteria, Hyphomicrobiales, Phyllobacteriaceae. The record is from Rfam.